Molecule: ribosomal RNA, 856 nt
Filed under: uncultured bacterium
Lineage: Bacteria
Description: bacterial SSU rRNA
Rfam family: Bacterial small subunit ribosomal RNA
Source: RNAcentral
AAGUCGAGCGGUAUAUACUGGAACGAAACUUCGGUCUAGAGAAGGUAUAGAGAGCGGCGGACGGGUGAGUAACGCGUAGGCAACCUGCCCCAUACAGAGGGAUAGCCUCGGGAAACCGGGAUUAAAACCUCAUAACACGAGAGUUUCACAUGUUACUUUCGUCAAAGAUUUAUCGGUAUGGGAUGGGCCUGCGUCUGAUUAGCUAGUUGGUGAGGUAACGGCUCACCAAGGCAACGAUCAGUAGCCGACCUGAGAGGGUAAUCGGCCACAUUGGAACUGAGACACGGUCCAAACUCCUACGGGAGGCAGCAGUGGGGAAUCUUGCACAAUGGGCGAAAGCCUGAUGCAGCAACGCCGCGUGAGCGAUGAAGGCCUUUGGGUCGUAAAGCUCUGUCCUUGGGGAAGAAAAAAUGACGGUACCCUUGGAGGAAGCCCCGGCUAACUACGUGCCAGCAGCCGCGGUAAUACGUAGGGGGCAAGCGUUAUCCGGAAUUAUUGGGCGUAAAGAGUGCGUAGGUGGUUAUGUAAGCGCAGGGUGAAAGGCAAUAGCUCAACUAUUGUAAGCCUUGCGAACUGCAUGACUUGAGUGCAGGAGAGGAAAGUGGAAUUCCUAGUGUAGCGGUGAAAUGCGUAGAUAUUAGGAGGAACACCAGUGGCGAAGGCGACUUUCUGGACUGUAACUGACACUGAGGCACGAAAGCGUGGGGAGCAAACAGGAUUAGAUACCCUGGUAGUCCACGCCGUAAACGAUGAGCACUAGGUGUCGGGGUCGCAAGACUUCGGUGCCGCAGUUAACGCAUUAAGUGCUCCGCCUGGGGAGUACGCACGCAAGUGUGAAACUCAAAGGAAUUGACGG